Molecule: long non-coding RNA, 1462 nt
Filed under: Bos indicus x Bos taurus (hybrid cattle)
Lineage: Eukaryota; Metazoa; Chordata; Mammalia; Artiodactyla; Bovidae
Description: lncRNA (ENSBIXG00005004474.1)
Source: RNAcentral
CUGCCUUAUAUUUUUUUUAAGUUGUCUGCAUUUGCAUCAAAAUUGCCAAAGCAAUGAGGAAAUGAUUUCCAAGUGAAUAGUCUAUGUUCUAUAAGUUUGAAUUCAAUGGCAAGCUAGAAAUACUGUGUUAAGGACUAAAGGUUUCCAUUCCUGCUGAGAUUCUCACCCCCACAGUGACGGUAUGAGGAGGGGCUCCUCGGGGAGUCAGUGAGGUCAUAAGGACAGGGCUCUCAUGAUGGGAUGAAGAAGACAAUGAAGACUUCCUCGUCUGCUCUCCGAAUGUGGGACACACAAAGAAGCUGGUGUCCACAACCCAGGAAGCAGGCGGCACAGAUACCAGCAUCCUGGCUUCAACAUUCCUUCCACAUGACACAAGAGUCCUGGGGCUGCUCCAGCUGCGAUUUCUGUUUUCCGAGUCUGUGGGGAAAAUAUUUGGAUGCACCUGCCCUACCAGAAGGAUGAUAAACUUUCCAAGUCUGCCACAAAUUGGGAGGAAAUGUGAUUGAAGUUGUCACGAUGAACCACUCUAAUCAAGUAAUAAUCACUCUAAAUCAUUUCCAGGAAAAUCUGCAAAGUGGUUUGGAUUUAAGUGCCAUGGCUCAAUCUGGGCUCCUUAUGAAGAAGGGCAAAGUCUCCAUUCCAACCAGUCUCAGGGACAGGGACAAUGUUAGAGGCGGCCCACCCCUGCUUCUACUCCCUGAUGCAAUAUCUGGCCAGUGAAUUUCAACAUCAUAAUAGAUGCUGGGAUCAGAUCCACAAACCCUAGACAAUGAAAGAAUGUUUUAAAUGUAGUUUUAUUCAUGCAUCUGAUGACAAUUAUUUUAAUGGUUCACACAAAACAAAAUAUAUUUCUUAUCAAAUCUCUGUCCUUCUCCAGAAUAUCUCUCAUUAGAAUUUAUGACUGUCUAGAGAUAAUGGCAUACUUAUUUUUCAGUUCUUGAUUUCCAUACAAAAGGGCUAUUUUUUUUUCCUUCCUUUGUCCACCCCUAAGCACGUUGCCUACCUUGGGUGUUAAAAAAUCACCUUUCUUAAUACUGGAAAAUAGGGAUUAAAUGACUAACUUGUAGGUGGCCACCCAAAACACACAGCCAAGCUUGCCAAAGGAAACAAUUCACAGCUGAGCACCAUACUCUGAACCACACUGACGAACUUGAAAGAUAGGUUUUCUUUAAAACCAAAUCCCAGUACUGAUUUUGUUAUGAAACCAAUUGAAAAGCGCAGGACCACCGUUAACUUCGUGAUAUUACGGUUUGAGGUUAGUAUCUGUACAGCUUGACAUGCAAGCUAAGCUAUUCAAACUUCUAGGAGCUUUUCUUUUGCUAGCCUCCGAUGAAAGGGGGGCGGGGAAGAGAAUCGAGUGUUUUUAGCUCCACCAUGAAGAUCUGAAAAAUGGACAUCCUUUCAGAAACGACCUUGAGACACUCUACCGAUUAAUUCACUCCGUUUGUUUUAGCAUUCCUAU